CCACAGUUCUGCAUCUGGGUCGUUCACCUGCAAUGCCAGAACACCGGGCGUUAGCAGACACCGCGUGGUGCCGCAGUCCUGCUCCGUGCAGACGCUGCUGGGCGGCGGGGCCACACGAGGGCCUAGAGGGUCGGCGGGGUCGGGGCGGGGGGUGGCCCGGGGCCGCUGGCCGAGCGCAGCCACACGCCGGAGCACAGAACCGCACGGAAGUCGGACAGAGGGAGGCCAACCCCGGGAAGACCGCAGGGCUCAAAGACUCCACAGUGCUGAAAAUACUUCCAGGCUUACAUAGGAGAACGAGGGACAGGGAUGGGUGUGUGCGUGCAGGUGGCAGUGCAGAGCUGGAGGAACUUUGAGUGCCCGUAAGCAUUAUGGUAAUUUCAUAGUGACGACAGUUCUAUUAGCAUCUUACACAGCUCACAGCUUUUCUGCAGACAGGCUCAUUUAUCUUCAUGGGCUUUUAUUAUAAAAGGUAUUUACAUAUUAUACAUAUUUACAAUUCUUUCCCACCACCAAAACCAACAAAAUUUCCACACGCGUUGCUCAUGAAUUUCUUAUGAACCGAAGACACUGAGAUAUUCACUGCUCUCCCCUCUCACUUGUUUUACAGUCUUUUUUUGUUUUGUAAUUUACCCUCUGAUGAGGCUUUCCCAAGCUCAUUUACACAUCCAUAGGCCUCAACAUUUUUGCUGUUCUAAGGAGUCUUUAUCACUUCAAAUCAUGAGCAUGAGCUCCUGUCCUCCUCUCCUUUUAGCUAAAUCUCCUAAAAUGCUUUAGGGAGUUUUUCCCUCCUGUUGCGUUCCUAUUAAGGAAUGCUUAUUUCAAGAACAUCACCAGCUGGGCUCCUGGCCCUGUGCUGAGCUCUGGAUGAGGAGGGUGGAUUUGCCCUGUGCACUUCCUGAAGGGAGCAUGCAAGCGGGCCAUGGGCUGGCUACCCAGUGGGGAUAAGGGCCAGGCAGAGGACAGGCUCCUUAGUGAGUUCCACUGCCAAAUCAGCCCUGGGAUUAGGGACCAGUGACUACCUUCACUGUCCUAUUCCUUAUCGGAAGAAAAAUAUAAAUAAAUGAAGGAGAGGGUAGUGUUCUAGGCUGAAUCAGUCCCCAUGCCAAUUCAUAUAUAUGUUGAAGUCCUGACCCUAAUGGCAAUUGGGGGGGAGGGCACAGGUUUGGGUAGCAGCCCACAAGAGAACAUGAGUUGGGUUUCUAAAGGCAAAAAGGAAUGUAUGCAUAUGUUAUUUACAAAGAAUUUUGAUUGGUGUUGGCUAGACAUAACGGGUUGCCAAGGCUGUCACUAAGCCAAAGUCCGUUCCUGUAGCACGCGGCAGGUGUUCAUGCAGAGUCCUUGGAAUAUUUCUGACUUGGCCCAGUUUAUAAAUUCUACCCAGUGAGGAUGUGCUGAAAGCCUACCUCUUUAAUGGGCUCCUGGCUCCCUUUGUAAAUCCCCUUGACAUAAGUGACUCCAUUUUAUUUCACCUUUCACCGGAGCUAGGGUCUUAAAAGAGAUAAGUUAAAAUGAGGUCAUUGGGGUGGACCCUAGUCCAAUAUGACUGGUGUCCUUAUAACAAGAGGAGAUUAGGACAUGGCACAUGACACACACAGAGGGAAGGCCCCGUGGCGACACAGCAAGAAGAUGGCCAUCUGCAAGGCCAAGAGAGAGGCCUCAGAAACCAGCCCUGUUGACACCUUGACUUUGGACUUCAGCCUCCAGACUUAUAGUCAAAAAAUAGCUGUCUGUAGUUCAAGCUCCCCAGGCUGUGAUGUGUUGUCAUGGCAGUUCUAGCAAACUAGAACUGUAUAGGGGGUGAUAGUAUCUGCUCUGCCAACCAAAUAAGAGUGCAGGUGGCAAGGAAAGAAUGGUGUGAAAAGUGGCGUGCCAUAAAGCCAUAGUGUAGUUUUAUAGUUUCCACUAUUGUCUGGAACCUUCUAGACCUCUGUAUGGACAUAUGUUUUCAUUUGUGCAGGGUUCAUUCCCCUUCUUAUAGGAUUAGCAUCCCUGUUAUUUGGGAAGGGCCCCUUCUCCCGCUAUUGGGGCAUGGAUACUCAGGGCUGGCCAUGAAGUCCCCUCUCCAGAGAUAGGGAGGUGACCUUGGCCUGCUGGUUGGCAUGACCCAUCCUCCUGACCACAGCAACUGGAUCUGGGAUGGUGUGUGCCUCAAACUGGCCGACCAUAUUGCUAGGACCUGUGUUGGACUAAGGUUGCCAGAUAAAAUACAGGAUGUUAGUUACAUUUGCAUCUCAGAUCAACAAGGAAUAAUUUUUUAGUAUAAACAUAUCCCCAAUAUUUGCAAAUACUGAGAACUGUAGCUGGACUAUGAGAGGGGGGCUUUCUUUUUGCUGAGUGUGUUGGUCUGAUGGCACGUAUGCCAAGGCUGCCAGGAGAAAGCUUUCCUGAAGUUGGAUUCAUGUAGAGGAAUCCAAGCUCAGAGAUAAAGAGGGUGGGUGACAUCCGCCUGCCUGAUGACAUUCCUUGAGGUUCUAGAACCAUCCAUGUCUGUCACUGGGAGCUGCCUCUCCAUAUUUCAGUGUUGUUAGCCAACGAAGUCCCAUCUUUAUAUAUAAGCCUGUGAGUUGGGUUUUUUGUCACUUGUGACUCCAAAUGGUGACUUGAAAAAUCCUGAUUCAGUAGUUAAGUGGAUGCUUAAAAAGCCUGUUUGUUCAGAUUUUGCAAAGACAGGGAAGAGAAGCCUCGUCUGAAAAGUAAUGAGAAAUAAGGUUAAAUGAAGCCAGUAUCCCAGAGAGCUCUUCACAAAGAGUCAUUUCAUCUUCCAUUUUAAUUGCAAUGUCACACUGCUGCAGAGACGGUGCCAUGUGGAUGGAGGCAGGGGCCUGUUGUGCUGGCUUCUGCAGAGAGGCAACUCCGAAGGCCUUCCUCCUGCUGGGCUGUCCCCCAGCUGCCAGGUCGUGACAGCUUCAUGAAAGCAGCGAGAGCCACUGGUGUCAAGUGAGGGGGACCGGCUUCUCCGCCAGAACCUGACAGCGCCUGGGCAGCAUGCGGAGAUCUGUCCUCAGAAGACUUGGAAAUAGAGGUGCUAGUUUUUUCUCUGCAAGUGGGAUUUUGAAUUCAAUGCCAAGAGAUGGAGCAGGGACUGGCAAACUCAUACAAAGACACAGCCGGCCUCCCAGGGCCUCACUUGAGAUUGAGGGAGACCUGGUGAAUGUUGAGCAUCUCUAAAAGGAGUGUCAGCAGAGGGGGAUUGGUGGCUGUGGAAACCCACAGAGUCGUGUCCAUCCGGAGGGCAAGGGCAGGCUCAGCUCAGCCCAGCACAGGCCGGAGAGGUGCUUUGCCCCCCUGGCCACGGACACUCACAUUUCCUCGUCAAGCCAUCCUCAUGGAGCCCGAUGUGGACCAAGAGGCAAUUCACAAGCGCAGUUCCUCUCUUUGCUGUGAUUCUAGAGAGAGUGUGGCCUCACAGCCACCUGGCCUAGGGUGGAGAAUGAGCUGACCUGCCGGCACCACCCAUCUGGUCAAAUUCUUUUCUUACUUUUCUUUUUUCGUGAGAGACACACAGAGAGAGGCAGAGACAUAAGCAGAGGCAGAAGGAGGCUCCCUGUGGGGACUCGAUCCUGGGACCCAGGAACAUAACCUGAGCCAAAGGCAGACACUCAACCACUGAGCCACCCAGGUGUCCCCCAUCUGGUCAAUUUCUAAGUAAGAAAGACACAUUCACUAAACAUUUAUUCCAGCCUCCCUAUGUAUCAGGCGCUAUGCUAAUGACUGACGAUGUGACUGUGAACAGAACAUUCAUGGCCUUACCCGGUGGCGUGGACACACUGAACAAUAAUCACACACACAGUGGCAGGUGAUCCCAGCAGGGGCUUGUGGGAAAGCACAGACGCUCUUGGGGUUGUGUGAAACAAAGAGGAGUCAGAAUUUUUCCAAGGGCUUUGAGAAACUUCCCGGAGAGGGAACUUUUGGGAGGGGCACCCUGAAAGAUGAAAGGGGAGUGCAGGCGAAGGAGGCAUGGGGUGCGGGGGAGUGCACACAGACAGAGGAGCAGGUCGGAAGGCCCUGAAUCCAGAGGCCCAGAAGGGCCGUGUGUGAGUGCAGAGAGAUGAAUUUAGAAGGGUGUGGGCUGGGAUCCCUGGGUGGCGCAGCGGUUUGGCGCCUGCCUUUGGCCCAGGGCGCGAUCCUGGAGACCGGUGCAUGGAGCCUGCUUCUCCCUCUGCCUGUGUCUCUGCCUCUCUCUCUCAUUCUGUGUGACUAUCAUAAAUAAAUAAAAAUAAAAAAAAAUUUAAAAAAAAAAAUAGAAGGGUGUGGGCUGAGGAGGUCAGUUUUCCAUCAAGUGCAAUGAGGAGCCCCCAGAACCCUGAGCUAGGGGUGGCAAGGCACGGGGAGUGCUUGGGGAUACACUGCAAUGCUGCUGUAAGAAAGCUGCUGCAAGAUUGGGUUUGUUGCAGGCGCAGGUGUGUGCGGAUUGUGAAGGUUAACACGUACCGAGCCCUCAGGGUUGCGGCAGUAUUCUGAGCACUGUGUAUACGUGAACUCAUGCUGCCAACAGUUCAGUGGGGCAGGUACUGUCAUGAUCCCCACUGAACAGAUGAAGACACAGAGGUGUGCGCGCUUGUCCUUAAAUCCAGUCCUCGAGAAAGACCCCAGCUCGUCUGACCCGUGACUCGGAAUUGGACUUCUCCAGGUGCAUAGACAGGCUGCCUGUCGGUUUAGGAAAGCGGAGAGGGAGGUAGGCCCCACGCACUCCCUCCCACCCCAUUACCUGGAGACUGGGUGGGGGCGCUUAACGGGUGACCUCCAGGCCCAGCAGAGGCGGCCAGGGCAGGCCUGCUUUGAGCCCUUUUGAAAGACCAGAAAGAUUUUUCUGCCCAUACCCUUGACCUUUGGAGCCUGAUCCCAGGAAGCUGUGCUUGGAAGUGGGAAAAGCCCAGGGACUACGGAGGCCUCUUCUGUCCGCACCCGGCCAGGGCCAGGCUGUUAGGACGGCGGGUGGGCUCUAGGUGGCGGGCUUCUGCAGCCGAUGGAGCCCCGGGCGGGCUGCUUGGAGGCCGACUUCCUGGGGGGCUGCGGAGCCCGGAGUGGCCUGAGCCGAGGACAAACAGAACUUUGUACCAGGAAGUACUGGUGUCUGGACGGGCCUGUGGCCGGGGAGUAGCUGAGUUUGGCUGUGUGCUGGCUGAGCGGCAAAUUGUUUGCCACCCCGAGAUUCCGGGCAAGUCUGAUGCAUCUAAGGGGAGCAGUCACUUCUAGUACUAGGACGAAGGUAAAUAAUGACGAUGACGGCGGCGACCAGGCACUGAGUGUUUACUGAGGGCCCUAGGACAUCCCUCACACCCUAACCUCACUGCAACGUCUGCAUCUCCACAUCUAAACCUGGCACCCCCUCUCCCAUCUCCCAUCCUCCAACACCUGCCCCCGCCCCACUGCUGGCCUGCCUUCCCUGGAGGCACCUUCACCCCCUUCAGUUACUCCUUGGAUUGAUUGCCUAGGCUUGCCUUAGCUGGGUGUCACAGAACUGGGGACCUAAAGAACUGUAUUCUUUCACCAUUCUGGAGACCUCAAGUCCAAAAUCAAGGUGUCCGCAGGGACCCACUCCCUGCCCAAGGCUCUGGGGAGACUCUUUUCUGGCCUCUUUCAGCUUUUGUGGGGUGGCGGUGGGGUCCUUGUGGUCACAUGACUGUAGUCUCAGAUGGACUGGGAUUGUUGGAUUUAGGGCCCACGUGGGUGGUCCAGGAUGAUCUCACCUGCAGAGCCUUAACCCCAGGAUUGGGACCUGAGCCGAAGGCAGACCCUCAACCGCUGAGCCACCCAGGCAUCCCAAAGACCCUGUUUCUAAUAAGAUCACUUUCACAUGUUCCAGGGGCUAGGAGGGAGACAGACCUUUUCAGGGGCCACCAUUCAAUUCACUGACACUCACUGCAGAAACCUAUUGUUAUCCUGGACACCUCCAGCCCCUCCCUCCCCUGUGAAGUCCACUGCCACCCAUUGUGGCUGACUUGUCUGCUCAGUGCCAACACCUGCUCCAGGCCAUCAGCAUUUCUUCCCUAACUUCCUCACUGGUUUCCCUGUGUCCACCUGUUGUGGAUCAAACUGUGGCCCCAUUGCCAUGACUCACAUAUUGAAGCUCUGACCCCCACCCCCAGUGGUGAUUGCUUUGGGAAAUGGGGACAUUCACGAGAUAAAGUUCACGAGAUCACACGGGUGGGGCCCUGAUCUGAUAGGACUGACGUCCUUAUAGGAAGAGCUACCAGAGGGACACCUGGAUGGCUCAGCUAUUGGGCAUCUGCCUUCAGCUCAGGGCAUCAUCCUGGGUUUGGGAUUUAGUUCUGGCCCCACGUCAGGCUUCCUGCAAGGAGCCUGCUUCUCCCUCUGCUCUCUCUUUCUGUGUCAUGAAAAAAUAAAAUCUUGAAGAAGAGGAAGAGGAAGAGGAGGAAGAAGAAGAGGAAGAGGAAGAAGAAGGAAGAAGAAGAAGAAGAAAGAACUACUGGAGCUAGCUCUCCAUGCAGGAAUGGUGGAAAGCCACAUUAAGGACACAGUGAAAAGCUGGCCAUCUACAAGCCAGGAAGAGAGAGCUCUCCAGAGAGCAAUCACUGCCAGCCCUCCUCCCCCCCCAACACCACCGGUGUCACCUUGGUCUCAGACCUCCUGUCUACAAAACUGUGAGAAAAUAAAUUCCUGUGGCUGCA
Nyctereutes procyonoides (raccoon dog) is the source of this 6635-nucleotide long non-coding RNA. RefSeq lists it as uncharacterized. The transcript has 3 exons. NCBI's taxonomy places the organism in Eukaryota, Metazoa, Chordata, Mammalia, Carnivora, Canidae. The record is from RefSeq and is a predicted model, not a curated record.